CCCCGAAGCGUGUAAGGCUCAUAGCAGGGAACGAGAGAAGCAGUGAAUGAGUCUAGUUCCCCCCCCGCUUCGGGAACGGCACUUAGAGGGAGAGCAGGUACAAAUUUGCAGUAUCUUCCAGAUGGGUACAUGCCUAUGGACCUGUCUGCCUGUGGUUCCGCUGACACUGGGAUUCAAGCACUUAGUUCCUAGACUCACACAGAGGACGUGCGCAGACUUCACUGGAUUUCUGUCUUUUUUGGAAGCUGUGACAGUAUAUAUCUUGGUACAGGGAAUCGCCUUGUCUCCUGCCCUUAUUUAG
Molecule: long non-coding RNA, 301 nt
Filed under: Struthio camelus australis
Lineage: Eukaryota; Metazoa; Chordata; Aves; Struthioniformes; Struthionidae
Description: lncRNA (ENSSCUG00000008625.1)
Source: RNAcentral